GUGGUCAAGUGAAUAAGGGCUGACGGUGGAUACCUAGGCACACAGAGGCGAAGAAGGACGUGGUUACCGACGAAAAGCUCCGGGGAGCUGGAAGCAAGCAUUGAGCCGGAGGUGUCCGAAUGGGGCAACCCAAAAACGGCUGGCAGAAUAUAUAUGCCAGUACGAGCGAACCCAGCCAACUGAAACAUCUUAGUAGCUGGAGGAAGAGAAAGCAAAAGCGAUUUCCUAUGUAGCGGUGAGCGAAAGGGAAACAGCCUAAACCAUUUGUUAAAACAGAUGGGGUAGUGGGACAGCCAUAAGUAAUUGAGGAAGUUAGACGAAGCAGCGAGAAACUGCACCACAGAAGGUGAAAGUCCUGUAGUCAAAAACCGAAUCAGUUACGGUUGUAUCCCGAGUAGCAUGGGGCUCGAGAAAUCCCGUGUGAAUCAGCGAGGACCACCUCGUAAGGCUAAAUACUCCUGUGUGACCGAUAGUGAACCAGUACCGCGAGGGAAAGGUGAAAAGAACCCCGGAAGGGGAGUGAAAUAGAACAUGAAACCGUCAGCUUACAAGCAAUGGGAGCUCGAUUAAACGAGUGACCGUGUGCCUGUUGAAGCAUGAGCCGGCGAGUUAUAGGCAGUGGCAGGUUAAAACCAGAAAGGUUGAAGCCAAAGCGAAAGCGAGUCUGAACAGGGCGAUAAGUCACAGUUUAUAGACCCGAACCCUGGUGAUCUAACCAUGUCCAGGAUGAAGCUUGGGUAACACCAAGUGGAGGUCCGAACCGACUUCUGUUGAAAAAGGAGCGGAUGAGGUGUGGUUAGGGGUGAAAUGCCAAUCGAACCAGGAGCUAGCUGGUUCUCCCCGAAAUGUGUUGAGGCGCAGCGGUGAGAGUAAAAGUCUGGGGGUAAAGCACUGUUUCGGUGCGGGCUGCGAGAGCGGUACCAAAUCGAGACAAACUCUGAAUACCAGAUGGUAAUCUCACCAGUGAGACGGUGGGGGAUAAGCUUCAUCGUCGAAAGGGAAACAGCCCAGACCACCAGCUAAGGUCCCCAAAUUACCACUAAGUGAGAAAGGAGGUUGGAGUCCAUAGACAACCAGGAGGUUGGCUUAGAAGCAGCCACCCUUGAAAGAGUGCGUAAUAGCUCACUGGUCAAGGACUCUGGCACCGAAAAUGAACGGGGCUAAGUGGUAUACCGAAGCUGUGGAAUACAAAUUGUAUUGGUAGGGGAGCGUUCCGUGGUAGUAAGAAGCAUUAGCGAGAGCAGGUGUGGACGAAACGGAAGUGAGAAUGUCGGCUUGAGUAGCGAAAAUAUGUGUGAGAAUCACAUACCCCGAAACCCUAAGGGUUCCUCCGGACGGCUCGUCCGCGGAGGGUGAGUCAGGACCUAAGGCGAGGUCGAAAGGCGUAGUCGAUGGACAACGGGUGAAAAUUCCCGUACCGUCAUUGGUUGGUGCAGAGGGACGGAGAAGGCGUGAGCUAGCCGGAAGAUGGUUACCGGUGUAAGCGUUCGAGGUGUUGCGGAGCGGAGAAAACGUUCCAAGCUGAGGCGUGAGUCCGACUGCCUACGGGCAGGAAGUAGUAUCUGUCAGGCUUCCAAGAAAAGCUCUAAACACCAUAAGCCAAUGAUGCCUGUACCCGAAACCGACACAGGUAGGGUGGUUGAGAAUACUCAGGGGCGCGAGAUAACUCUCUCUAAGGAACUCGGCAAAAUGGCCCCGUAACUUCGGGAGAAGGGGUGCCAGCGAGAGCUGGCCACAGUGAAGAGUCCCAGGCGACUGUUUACCAAAAACACAGGUCUCCGCAAAGUCGAAAGACGCAGUAUGGGGGCUGACGCCUGCCCAGUGCCGGAAGGUUAAAGAAGUUGGUCAGCGAAAGUGAAGCUAGCGACUGAAGCCCCGGUGAACGGCGGCCGUAACUAUAACGGUCCUAAGGUAGCGAAAUUCCUUGUCGGGUAAGUUCCGACCCGCACGAAAGGCGUAACGAUCUGGGAGCUGUCUCGGAGAGAGACUCGGCGAAAUAGAAAUGUCUGUGAAGAUACGGACUACCUGCACUUGGACAGAAAGACCCUAUGAAGCUUUACUGUAGCCUGGAAUUGGGUUCGGGCUUCUCUUGCGCAGGAUAGGUGGGAGGCGAUGAAUAGUUUCUUGUGGGGAACUAGGAGCCAUCGGUGAGAUACCACUCUAGAGAGGCUAGAAUUCUAACUUGGAGCUAUAUCAAGCCCAAAGACAGUUUCAGGGGGGCAGUUUGACUGGGGCGGUCGCCUCCUAAAAGGUAACGGAGGCGCGCAAAGGUUCCCUCAGGCUGGUUGGAAAUCAGCCGGAGAGUGUAAAGGCACAAGGGAGCUUGACUGUAAGAGAGACAACUCGAGCAGGUAGGAAACUAGGCCUUAGUGAUCCGACGGUACUGCGUGGAAAGGCCGUCGCUCAACGGAUAAAAGUUACUCUAGGGAUAACAGGCUGAUCUCCCCCAAGAGUUCACAUCGACGGGGAGGUUUGGCACCUCGAUGUCGGCUCAUCGCAACCUGGGGCGGAAGUACGUCCCAAGGGUUGGGCUGUUCGCCCAUUAAAGCGGUACGUGAGCUGGGUUCAGAACGUCGUGAGACAGUUCGGUCCAUAUCCGGUGUAGGCGCAAGAGCAUUGAGAGGAGUUCUCCCUAGUACGAGAGGACCGGGAGGAACGCACCGCUGGUGUACCUGUUAUCGUGCCAACGGUAGACGCAGGGUAGCCAAGUGCGGAGCGGAUAACCGCUGAAAGCAUCUAAGUGGGAAGCCCACCUCAAGAUGAGUGCUCUCACUACUUUAAGUAGGUAAGGUCACGGGAAGACUACCCGUUUAUAGGUGUUCGGUGGAAAUGCAGUAAUGUAUGCAGCCUAGACACACUAACAGACCGAGGACUUGACCUC
Molecule: ribosomal RNA, 2881 nt
Filed under: Okeania sp. SIO1I7
Lineage: Bacteria; Bacillati; Cyanobacteriota; Cyanophyceae; Oscillatoriales; Microcoleaceae
Description: 23S ribosomal RNA
Rfam family: Bacterial large subunit ribosomal RNA
Source: RNAcentral